CCUACGGGGGGCAGCAGUGAGGAAUAUUGGUCAAUGGGCUUACGCCUGAACCAGCCAAGUCGCGUGAGGGAAGACUGCCCUAUGGGUUGUAAACCUCUUUUGUCAGGGAGCAAUUGGCGCUACGUGUAGCGUUAUCGAGAGUACCUGAAGAAAAAGCAUCGGCUAACUCCGUGCCAGCAGCCGCGGUAAUACGGAGGAUGCGAGCGUUAUCCGGAUUGAUUGGGGUUAAAGGGUGCGUAGGCGGAAUGCCAAGUCAGCGGUAAAAUCGCGGGGCUCAACCUCGCUCCGCCGUUGAAACUGGCGUUCUUGAGGGGGCGAGAGGUAUGCGGAAUGCGUGGUGUAGCGGUGAAAUGCAUAGAUAUCACGCAGAACUCCGAUUGCGAAGGCAGCAUACCGGCGCCCAACUGACGCUGAAGCACGAAAGCGUGGGUAUCGAACAGGAUUAGAUACCCGUGUAGUC
This 460-nucleotide ribosomal RNA is filed under the name uncultured bacterium. Its description in RNAcentral is "partial 16S ribosomal RNA". It matches the Rfam family "Bacterial small subunit ribosomal RNA", at positions 338 to 795 of the family's 1533-position model. The record is from RNAcentral.